GAUGAAGAACGCAGUGAAAUGCGAUAAGUAAUGUGAAUUGCAGAAUUCAGUGAAUCAUCGAAUCUUUGAACGCACAUUGCGCCCAUUAGUAUUCUAGUGGGCAUGCCUGUUCGAGCGUCAUUUCAACCCUUAAGCCUAGCUUAGUAUUGGGAAUCGACUUUACUGUCGUUCCUCAAAUUCAACGGCGGAUUUAUAGCAAUCUCUGAACGUAGUAAUUUUUUUUCUCGUUUUUGAAAUACUAUAAACCUCAGCCGCUAAACCCCCAAUUUCUUAUGGUUGACCUCGGAUCAGGUAGGAAUACCCGCUGAACUUAAGCAUAUCAAUAAGAGGAGGA
RNAcentral lists this unclassified non-coding RNA (334 nucleotides) under soil metagenome. Its description in RNAcentral is "partial contains 5.8S ribosomal RNA, internal transcribed spacer 2, and large subunit ribosomal RNA". The stretch from base 1 to 120 matches the Rfam family "5.8S ribosomal RNA", at positions 35 to 154 of the family's 154-position model. The record is from RNAcentral.